Coregonus clupeaformis (lake whitefish) is the source of this 192-nucleotide long non-coding RNA. RefSeq lists it as uncharacterized. Lineage: Eukaryota; Metazoa; Chordata; Actinopteri; Salmoniformes; Salmonidae. The transcript is spliced from 3 exons. The record is from RefSeq and is a predicted model, not a curated record.
ACAUCCCACUGGAGAUGGCUAACAGUCUCAACACAGAGGUAGCUGUGAACACCCAGGAGAACACCCAGAGGAUGGACGAGGAGUUGGGAAGAGAAAGGGAUUCUCCUCUCUUCCUGGAACACCAUCACAUGAGUUCUCCAGAUGAAUUUACACCUGAAAUCCAUGAUCAGGACAACAGGAGAGAAUACCAGU